This 484-nucleotide ribosomal RNA is filed under the name uncultured bacterium. Its description in RNAcentral is "bacterial SSU rRNA". It matches the Rfam family "Bacterial small subunit ribosomal RNA", at positions 28 to 511 of the family's 1533-position model. The record is from RNAcentral.
GAUGAACGCUGGCGGCGUGCCUAACACAUGCAAGUCGAGCGAGAAUUUACGAAAUGAAGCUUCGGCAGAAUUUUGUAAAGGAAAGCGGCGGACGGGUGAGUAACGCGUGAGUAACCUGCCCUAUGGAGGAGGAUAACACAUCGAAAGAUGUGCUAAUACUGCAUAACAUACAUUAACCGCAUGAUUGAUGUAUCAAAGAUUUAUCGCCAUAGGAUGGACUCGCGUCUGAUUAGAUAGUUGGCGGGGUAAUGGCCCACCAAGUCGAUGAUCAGUAGCCGAACUGAGAGGUUGAUCGGCCACAUUGGGACUGAGACACGGCCCAGACUCCUACGGGAGGCAGCAGUGGGGAAUAUUGCGCAAUGGGGGAAACCCUGACGCAGCAACGCCGCGUGAAGGAUGAAGGUCUUCGGAUUGUAAACUUCUGUUCUGAGGGACGAACAAGGACGGUACCUCAGGAGGAAGGCCACGGCUAACUACGUGCCAG